RNAcentral lists this ribosomal RNA (443 nucleotides) under Streptococcus parasanguinis. Its description in RNAcentral is "bacterial SSU rRNA". It matches the Rfam family "Bacterial small subunit ribosomal RNA", at positions 28 to 461 of the family's 1533-position model. The record is from RNAcentral. Lineage: Bacteria; Bacillati; Bacillota; Bacilli; Lactobacillales; Streptococcaceae.
GAUGAACGCUGGCGGCGUGCCUAAUACAUGCAAGUAGAACGCUGAAGCUUGGUGCUUGCACCGAGCGGAUGAGUUGCGAACGGGUGAGUAACGCGUAGGUAACCUGCCUCUUAGCGGGGGAUAACUAUUGGAAACGAUAGCUAAUACCGCAUAAAAGUCGAUAUCGCAUGAUAUUGAUUUGAAAGGUGCAAUUGCAUCACUAAGAGAUGGACCUGCGUUGUAUUAGCUAGUUGGUGAGGUAACGGCUCACCAAGGCGACGAUACAUAGCCGACCUGAGAGGGUGAUCGGCCACACUGGGACUGAGACACGGCCCAGACUCCUACGGGAGGCAGCAGUAGGGAAUCUUCGGCAAUGGGGGCAACCCUGACCGAGCAACGCCGCGUGAGUGAAGAAGGUUUUCGGAUCGUAAAGCUCUGUUGUAAGAGAAGAACGAGUGUGAGAG